Molecule: long non-coding RNA, 4792 nt
Filed under: Sus scrofa (pig)
Lineage: Eukaryota; Metazoa; Chordata; Mammalia; Artiodactyla; Suidae
Description: lncRNA (ENSSSCG00000057785.1, ENSSSCG00110007288.1)
Source: RNAcentral
UUCAAUGUAUUUUUCAGUUUGUCAACUUAAAAGUGAGUUUCCAGCUCUUUAGUUUAAAAACAUAUCUUUCCUAUGAUGUUCUGCUUUUUUAAAAUGUAUGGUGUUAGCCAAAAACAUAUAACUCUGUUAUUCAAGAUUAUAUUUACAUGAAAGCUAUUUUAGAUGUUUUUGAGGGAAACACAUGUAUUAAAAAUCCCUCUGCCAUUUUAUGAAGCAUUUCCUAAAAUAUGAAACAUGUGACCCUAUAAAUUAUAUGUAAUUUUAUUAGAUUCAUUUAUGUAUAGUUUCAUAUGCAUAUAUAUAUAAAUAUAUAUAUGGGUACACACGCACAUUCACUACACAUAUAAGUAUACAAAUAUAUUUGUAGAAUAUCCAAUUAGUCCAGGAAGGGUUUUAUCUUUUUUUUACUGAAUAUUGGGAAAUUGGCAAGAAUCUUUCACCCAUUAAUUAUAUUGUAUACAGAUAAUUCUACAUAUAGUAGUUGUAUAACAGUAACAUAUCUUACUAUUAAUAUCUUAUUUAUAUAUACUAUUAAUACUAAAAUUAAUCCUUGAAUUUAUUAUAAUUUCCUUUUAUUAUUAUUAUUUGGGGGGAUUCCACAAUGUUUCUUAUCUAGAAUCUCUGUUUACCAAAAAAGUUUCCUAGGAGUCAUAAUCAAACACAACUAGUGGGCACACACUGUGUUUUGCAGUCUUUUCAGUGCUUUAUAUGAAUGAUCUUUUUGUCCUCCCCGUCAUGGUAGAAGAAAAACACAAUUAUAACCACCUUGUACAUAAGAACCCUAAGCACUGAGAGGUUAAUUAAGCGGAUGUUUAAAGAGCCUCAGCAAGUGGGAGCCAGAAUUUGAACCUAGGCGACCCAUUUGCUUAAAGUGAUGUUCACAGAUUAUAUAUAUAACAUCAGUGUGUGAACCUCUCAGAAACCCAAAGGGUAUUGCAUAAUCAUUUACAAUUUGUUUCCAUAUCCAAAGAUUGUGUUCCAGGUCCUGACUGACAGCGUAUCUGCUGAGUCCUUUCUGGAGAUGGGAGGAGAUCAACUAAGUGAUUUGCAUCUGAAGGCUCAUUCUUUUCAUCUCUGACACAGAGACUAUUUUCUUAAUCUGGUUUAUUUGCAGGGUUUGAAAUUAGACUACGUAAAACAUUUGAUAUACUUUCAGGCUUUAGAUAAUUAUGAGAUAUCAUUGAGUAAUAAGAAUAAAUUAAAAAACAAUGAUAAUAAUUUCCCUUGGAUAUGAAAUCUUCUGCCCUUGCUAAUUAGCUUAAUAUCCCUGCUGUUUUCUUUUUAAAUAUAUUAUUUCUAAAAUUUAGGAAAAUAAAUGUGAAAAUUGAAAACUGAAACAACUUUGUAUGCAAUGAUUACUAACUAUAAAAAUUCAAAAUAUGAAAAAAUAAUAUUAUAUGCUUGGCUAAAAGUCAAAGCGAUUUCAUUCUCUUUGUUGGGCCCUAAUAAAUAAUGGAACAUAUUUGUAAGUAAUACCUGAGAUGUUCAAAAUUGUCAGAGGCAAAUCUAUUUUUUAAAAUAAAAGUUUUCUAACAAAGCUCAAAUUUUUCUAAUACUGGUGAAACUAAAAUAGGGCUCACAUAGCAAUUCGUUUGGUUUCUUGACUUUCUUCUAAUAAAGGUAUUCUUGAAUUCACUAAAAAAAAAGCAUUGUCACCUUAAACAAGCUCUUAAGAUGUGCUGUGCCUACCACUUGCUAUAGAAGAUGUGACUUUCCUUUCUACCCUCUUUUACACUCAAAAUGAUUGUCACUGUUGACUUCAAAUCAUUACAUUUUUUCAUGCAGACUGAAAAAUGAGUUUUAGUUUCUAAAUACUAAGUGGCAAGAAUGAAAUAUUUGUGGUACAUGAUAGAAUGUUUGUAAUGAUAGAACUAUAUAUAAAGUAUAAAAAACAUAUGCAUUCAUCUCAUCUAAUUUAUAACAACUGAGACAAAUGAUCUCAGGUAGGGAAUAAUCAACUUCAAGUUAUUAUGUUCUGUGAGUGACAAUUAAGUCCAUUUUUUUCUGCUACAUUAAAAAUAUAUAUAUAUAUAUAUAUAUCAUACGGAGGAGUUCCCGUCAUGGCUCAGUGGUUAAUGAAUCCGACUAGGAACCGUGAGGUUGCAGGUUCGAUCCCUGGCCUCCCUCAGUGGGUUAAGGAUCUGGCAUUGCCAUGAUCUGUGGUGUAGGUCGCAGACACGGCUUUGAUCUGACAUUUCUGUAGCUCUGGACUAGGCUGGUGGCUAUAGCUCCGAUUAGACCCCUUGCCUGGGAACCUCCACAUGCUGCAGGUGUGGCCCUAAAAAGACGAAAGACAAAAAAAUAAAAUUAUAUGGAAAAAGGCCAAGUGUUUCAGACUCUUGCUGAGGUAUGGAUAUUCAAGGAUACAGAUGCAUGCUAUGUGCUAGAUAUUAUACACUAGAUGUGUAGAUUAAUAUAUCAUUUUAUUUCUAAACUUAUCUCCCCCCAAUUGAAGUAACAUGUGUGUCUAAACCAAGUCCAGGAGUAUAAACUGAGCAAAAUUACUGGAAAUCACUUGACUUUCUGUUAAAUUGUCUUGAGAAAUGAGAAAUCCUUUGUAUGACAAAUGGGAGUAAAUUUUUAAGAUCAUCAUUUUCUUAUUCCCUUUGUUAAUCAGGAAGAAUAAAUAUCCCUUAUGCAAGGCAUUGUGGUAACUGAAUAGAAAGUAUGGUGAAAGCAAGAUGAACUUAAAACUUAGAGUAGAUUCAGAGUAUAUUGACAGCUUAAAAGGAAAAAUAGGACAAGCAUAAAAAUAAUCUGAAAGUUGCAGCUGAUCAUCACCACCUGUCAACUUAUUCAUCUUCGCUGACAUCUAUAAAGUCAUAUAUCCGUAAUUAAAAUACUAAGCAGUAGAUGAAACUAUGAUAUGAAUUGGAGUCACCUACAGAACUUUAAAAAAAAAAACCUAAUGCUUGUGUACCAUCUCUAAAAAUUCUAAUUUAGUUCCUGUGGUGUAUCAUUUUAAAUAUGAAAUUUAUAAUACCUCUAAGCAAUUAUAAUUUGUAGCACUAAGGGAACCCUUGACAUACAUGUGCAAUAUGGAAAAACAUUAUUUUACAACCUUGUACUAAUACCGGCUUUAUAAUAAUUUAUAAAUCAUAAUAUAUAUCAGGUAGAUACAUUUUAAGAUCUAAGAUUCAAUGUCAAAGCUGCAAAAGGCCAAAACCUAUAAUUUUUCUUGUGCCUUUAUGUAUACUUCUUUUCCCACUUCUUAAGACAUCCAAAUGAUCAAUCUGAAAUCUCAAGACUGUUUACCUUAAGUAAAUGAAAAAUCCUUCAAGUAUGAAUUCUUCCUAUAUCACAUACAACAUUCUAUCUUUUGUUUUAACCAUUUGUACCUUUGUAUAAUUUCCUAUUAUAAAAGACUUAAGGACAGAAAGGAUUUUCAUUGUUUUGGUGCUGAUGUUUUGUUCUUUCAUGGUUUCAUAUCUUUAGUAUCUAGUGAUUACAUUACUUGCAGUAGAUUCUGAAAAUUUGUUGAAUUAAUCUUAGUAAAAUCUCUGAAAUCCUUGUCAUUUAAGUUCCUGUACAUUGUUAUAUGUGCUAUGUCUCAGUCAUAUUAUAGUUAUUUGAGGACAUUGUAGCCAGUUACUGACUGUGAGUUCCAUGAAAGUAAACAAUAUCCCUUAAUAUAUUAUAAGAAUUCUCCCCUAUGGCUGGCAUAUAUCUGCAGCAAAUAGAAAUGGUUUAUAUGUAGAAGUAGUUUACAGUGGGGUAGCAUUCUAAGCAUUUAUUAGAGCAUCACCAGCUAUUAGCAUAAUCAGUUUUGAAGACACCAAUUAGAAUGGCAGAGAGUAAGUUAACUUUAAUUUCAAGAUAUAUUUUUAAACUGCAUUAUUUAAAAACAUUAUCAUCCAAUUAAUGCCCUUAUAAAGUAUCAUAAAUAAUAUUUAGUUAAAUCACAAAUAAAUAUUAGAUUACAUACUGAAAAUUUUAUGUUCUUAUACUAAUCAUUACUGAACGAUGAGUAAUGAUGGAGUCACAGGUUUUUAUUUGAAAAUUCUAUUUAAGCAAGACAAAUUUACACUGAGAGUAUAUAAAAGUGAAUAUUUAUAUACAAUGAAAUAAAAAGGAAAAUGCCCAGUAAACUGAAAUAAUAUGCUCAUGAAAAAACUUAAGAACAAUCUAUCAAAUAAUCAUUUCUUAUAGUUUGAAGUCUUUAGUUAUUCAUGUUGAAUUUAUUUCAUUUCAUAGUCUAAUGAGAAAACCUUUGCCUUUCUUGCUGCUGUCUGCUUAUUUCAACCUCAAUAAGUUUUCUGUUUAAACACACUAUGAAUUGAUAAACACUCUCUUUUCUGAUCAUGCUGAACACACUGAGUCAUCAAAAUGAAUACUUUUGUUUCAGGAUGAGACUCACAAAGCAUAUGCCUCUGUGCAUCUUGAAAAUAGAGUUUUCAGUUUUGCUGAAUUGUGUAACAUUUUGUUUAAUAGUAUACUCUUAAAACACAAAAUCCUUAUUCUUAUCCUACAACUAUUUUCCUUCUUUAUCAUCCUUACACCUUAGGCGGUAAAAUAGAAAUGUGUGUGUUGAUAUUAAAAAUACAGAAAGGUGGGAGCUCCCAUCGUGGCACAGUGGUUAAUGAAUCCGACUAGGAACCAUGAGGUUGCGGGUUCAAUCCCUGGCCUUGCUCAGUGGGCUAAGGAUUCGGUGUUGCCUUGAGCUGUGGUGUAGGUCGCAGACGCGGCUCAGAUCCCGCGAUGCUGUGGCUCUGAAGUAGGCUGGCAGCUCCAGCUCUGAUUAGACCCCUAGCCUGGGAACCUCUCAUAUGCCAUGGGAGCGGCCCAAGAAAUG